UACAGAGGGGGCAAGCGUUGUUCGGAAUUACUGGGCGUAAAGGGCGCGUAGGCGGCCCGCUAAGUCGAACGUGAAAUCCCCGGGCUCAACCCGGGAACUGCGUCCGAUACUGGUGGGCUCGAAUCCGGGAGAGGGAUGCGGAAUUCCAGGUGUAGCGGUGAAAUGCGUAGAUAUCGGAAGGAACAUCAGUGGCGAAAGCGACUUCCUGGACCAGUACCGACGUUCAGGCACGAAAGCGUGGGGAGCAAACAGG
This 253-nucleotide ribosomal RNA is filed under the name uncultured bacterium. RNAcentral's name for it is "partial 16S ribosomal RNA". It matches the Rfam family "Bacterial small subunit ribosomal RNA", at positions 524 to 776 of the family's 1533-position model. The record is from RNAcentral.